CCUACGGGUGGCAGCAGUGGGGAAUAUUGCACAAUGGGGGAAACCCUGAUGCAGCAACGCCGCGUGAGUGAAGAAGUAUUUCGGUAUGUAAAGCUCUAUCAGCAGGGAAGAAAAUGACAGUACCUGACUAAUAAGCCCCGGCUAACUACGUGCCAGCAGCCGCGGUCAGACAUAGGGGGCAAGCGUUAUCCGGAUUUACUGGGUGUAAAGUGAGCGUAGACGGCUGCGCAAACCAGAAGUGAAAGCCCGGGGCUCAACCGCGGGACUGCUUUUGAAACUGGAUAGCUAGAGUGAAGGAGAGGUAAGUGGAAUUCCUGGUGUAGCGGUGAAAUGCGUAGAUAUUAGGAGGAACACCGGUGGCGAAGGCGGCUUACUGGACUGUAACUGACGUUGAGGCUCGAAAGCGUGGGGAGCAAACAGGAUUAGAUACCCGGGUAGUC
RNAcentral lists this ribosomal RNA (440 nucleotides) under uncultured bacterium. Its description in RNAcentral is "partial 16S ribosomal RNA". It matches the Rfam family "Bacterial small subunit ribosomal RNA", at positions 338 to 795 of the family's 1533-position model. The record is from RNAcentral.